Molecule: long non-coding RNA, 381 nt
Filed under: Phaseolus vulgaris (common bean)
Lineage: Eukaryota; Viridiplantae; Streptophyta; Magnoliopsida; Fabales; Fabaceae
Description: long non-coding RNA (PVUL_LNC004663)
Source: RNAcentral
UUGCAAUGUGUAGCAGCGGGGAUGACCAGGAAAACGCUCUGAAAGUAGCUAGAGAAUCGAUGGAGAAGAUUGAAGAAGAGAUUAAGGGGAAGAAGUUUUUUGGAGGAGACAACAUUGGAUACCUUGACAUUGCCCUUGGAUGGAUCUCCUACUGGCUUCCUGUUUGGGAGGAAGUUGGAUCCAUGCAGAUAAUGGACCCAUUGAAGUUUCCAGCUACCAAUGCAUGGAUCACCAAUUUUCUGAGCCACCCUGUGAUCAAGGACAACUUGCCCCCAAGAGACAAAAUGCUUGUUUACUUCCACAGUCGCAGAAAGGCACUUUCUUCAUCUCUUCAGGGUUGGUUCAAGGUUUAGAUCUGUUCUCUCUCCAUGUUUCAUAGGC